RNAcentral lists this ribosomal RNA (678 nucleotides) under uncultured Ascomycota. Its description in RNAcentral is "eukaryotic LSU rRNA". The stretch from base 246 to 399 matches the Rfam family "5.8S ribosomal RNA". Lineage: Eukaryota; Fungi; Ascomycota. The record is from RNAcentral.
CAUUAUUGAAAUAAACCUGAUGAGUUGCUGCUGGUUCUCUAGGGAGCAUGUGCACACUUGUCAUCUUUAUAUCUCCACCUGUGAACCUUUUGUAGACCUGAAUAUCUCUCUCUGAAUGCCUGCAAAAAUUCAGGUUUGAGGAUUGAUUCUUUUCUUUCCUCGCAUUUUCAGGUCUAUGUUUUUCAUAUACCCCAUGUAUGUUUAUAGAAUGUAAUAAACGGGCCUUUGUGCCUAUAAACUUAUACAACUUUCAGCAACGGAUCUCUUGGCUCUCGCAUCGAUGAAGAACGCAGCGAAAUGCGAUAAGUAAUGUGAAUUGCAGAAUUCAGUGAAUCAUCGAAUCUUUGAACGCAUAUUGCGCUCUUUGGUAUUCCGAAGAGCAUGCUUGUUUGAGUAUCAGUAAACACCUCAAAGCUUUUGAUUUUCUUUGAAAGCUUUGGACUUGAGCAAUCCCAACACCAAUCUUUUUCAGAUCGGCGGCGGGUUGCUUGAAAUGCAGGUGCAGCUGGACAUUCUCCUGAGCUAAAAGCAUAUUCAUUUAGUCCCGUCAAACGGAUUAUUACUUUUGCUGCAGCUAACAUAAAGGGAGUUUGACCGUAUUGGCUGACUGAUGCAGGAUUUUACAAGGGUCGGCAACGAUUCUUGUUAAACUCGAUCUCAAAUCAAGUAAGACUACCC